This is a long non-coding RNA of Lytechinus variegatus (green sea urchin), 558 nucleotides long. RefSeq lists it as uncharacterized. Lineage: Eukaryota; Metazoa; Echinodermata; Echinoidea; Temnopleuroida; Toxopneustidae. The record is from RefSeq and is a predicted model, not a curated record. The transcript has 3 exons.
GCCAUUUGUCCAAUUUGAAGGUUGAUUUUGGAAGGUCAAUGUUUAAUUCAUGAGUAAUGACGUCAAACUACGCACAAUGCACUUGUAUGAUUGGAUAAAACGCUAAUGUUUUAUUCAUGUCUCAUGCAUUAAACAUUUUUUUCCGUCCCACAAUUCCCUACGAUAUCUAUGCGAAGUGUCGUUCUUUUUGAUUCUGCGAAAUUCAACUUUUUGAAAUACAAUAGCAAGUCUAAUUAUCUGUUUUUAGAAUUGAUGUUUGAAAACAUUAUUUCUGAGUGAACUUCAAAGGAGCAGAAAAUCUUGGAGGAAACAUUAAUGUCAAUCUAAUGACAUUCCAUAGGAAUAAAAAUCCAGUGGGAGUCAGAAGUACAAAGUCAAAUACCAUUUGCACAUCACCAAGAGGUACAAUCUGAUGAGUAACAGGAUAUCUGAUCUAAAAGCUUGCCAGGUUUCACAAGCUGUUUGAGUAUCACCAGGGCAGAUCAAGAAGAAAUAUGAAGGCCAGGUUCAUAACAAGCAGUUUCUUCAUUGCAAUUACAGAUUUAAAAACUUGAAUGA